GGGCCCGCACAAGCGGUGGAGCAUGUGGUUUAAUUCGAUGAUACGCGAGGAACCUUACCAGGGCUUAAAUGUAGUGGGACAGGUCUAGAGAUAGACCCUUCUUCGGACUCAUUACAAGGUGCUGCAUGGUUGUCGUCAGCUCGUGCCGUGAGGUGUCAGGUUAAGUCCUAUAACGAGCGCAACCCCUAUCGUUAGUUGCCAGCGGGUAAUGCCGGGGACUCUGGCGAGACUGCCGGUGCAAACCGUGAGGAAGGUGGGGAUGACGUCAAAUCAUCACGGCCCUUACGUCCUGGGCCACACACGUGCUACAAUGGUGGGGACAGAGAGCAGCCACUUCGCGAGGAGGAGCGAAUCUUCAAACCCCAUCACAGUUCGGAUCGCAGUCCGCAACUCGACUGCGUGAAGCUGGAAUCGCUAGUAAUCG
Molecule: ribosomal RNA, 424 nt
Filed under: uncultured bacterium
Lineage: Bacteria
Description: bacterial SSU rRNA
Rfam family: Bacterial small subunit ribosomal RNA
Source: RNAcentral